RNAcentral lists this transfer RNA (74 nucleotides) under Nitrososphaerota archaeon. Its description in RNAcentral is "Thaumarchaeota archaeon (hot springs metagenome) tRNA-Gly". It matches the Rfam family "tRNA". Rfam says of the family: Transfer RNA (tRNA) molecules are approximately 80 nucleotides in length. Their secondary structure includes four short double-helical elements and three loops (D, anti-codon, and T loops). Lineage: Archaea; Thermoproteati; Nitrososphaerota. The record is from RNAcentral. RNAcentral also lists the same sequence under 1 other name.
GCGGUCGUCGUCUAGCCUGGCAGGACGUCAGCUUCCCAAGCUGAAGAUCGCGGGUUCGAAUCCCGCCGACCGCA